RNAcentral lists this transfer RNA (71 nucleotides) under Loxodonta africana (African savanna elephant). It matches the Rfam family "tRNA". From Rfam's summary of the family: Transfer RNA (tRNA) molecules are approximately 80 nucleotides in length. Lineage: Eukaryota; Metazoa; Chordata; Mammalia; Proboscidea; Elephantidae. The record is from Rfam by way of RNAcentral.
GCAGUGGUGAUUCAGUGGUAGAAUUCUUGCCUUCCAUGCAAGAGACCUAGGUUUUAUUCCCUGCCAAUACA